Molecule: ribosomal RNA, 322 nt
Filed under: uncultured eukaryote
Lineage: Eukaryota
Description: partial 18S ribosomal RNA
Rfam family: Eukaryotic small subunit ribosomal RNA
Source: RNAcentral
CCCUUAGAUGUUCUGGGCCGCACGCGUGCUACACUGAGUGGAUCAGCGGGUCAGGUUGCGCGAAAGCGUUUCCUAAUCUUUAAAUCCGCUCGUGAUGGGGAUUGACGGUUGCAAUUUUCUGUCAUGAACGAGGAAUACCUUGUAAGCGCGGGUCAUCAUCCCGCGCUGAAUACGUCCCUGCCCUUUGUACACACCGCCCGUCGCUCCUACCGAUUGAGUGGUCCGGUGAGGCUUUGGGAUCUGAGCGGAAAGAGCGUUUCGCUGUUUCCGCUCGGAAAACUCAGUCGAACCUUAUCAUUUAGAGGAAGGAGAAGUCGUAACA